CCUACGGGAGGCUGCAGUGAGGAAUAUUGGACAAUGGACGAGAGUCUGAAGCAGCCAAGUAGCGUGAAGGAUGACUGCCCUAUGGGUUGUAAACUUCUUUUAUAUGGGAAUAAAAUGUUCCACGUGUGGGAUUUUGUAUGUACCAUAUGAAUAAGGAUAGGCUAACUCCGUGCCAGCAGCCGAGGUAAUACGGAGGAACCGAGCGUUAUCCGGAUUUAUUGGGGUUAAAGGGAGCGUAGGUGGAUUGUUAAGUCAGUUGUGAAAGUUUGCGGCUCAACCGUAAAAUUGUAGUUGAAACUGGCAGUCUUGAGUACAGUAGGGGUGGGCGUAAUUCUUGGUGUAGCGGUGAAAUGCUUAGAUAUCACGAAGAACUCCGAUGGCGAAGGCAGCUCACUGGACUGCAACUGACACUGAGGCUCGAAAGUGUGGGUAGCAAACAGGAUUAGAUACCCCUGUAGUC
This 460-nucleotide ribosomal RNA is filed under the name uncultured bacterium. Its description in RNAcentral is "partial 16S ribosomal RNA". It matches the Rfam family "Bacterial small subunit ribosomal RNA", at positions 338 to 795 of the family's 1533-position model. The record is from RNAcentral.